GAAAUGCGAUAAGUAGUGUGAAUUGCAGAAUUCAGUGAAUCAUCGAAUCUUUGAACGCACAUUGCGCCCUUUGGUAUUCCAAAGGGCAUGCCUGUUCGAGCGUCAUUUGUACCUCAAGCUUUGCUUGGUGUUGGGCGUCUUGUCUCUAGCUUUGCUGGAGACUCGCCUUAAAGUAAUUGGCAGCCGGCCUACUGGUUUCGGAGCGCAGCACAAGUCGCACUCUCUAUCAGCAAAGGUCUAGCAUCCAUUAAGCCUUUUUUCAACUUUUGACCUCGGAUCAGGUAGGGAUACCCGCUGAACUUAAGC
Molecule: unclassified non-coding RNA, 306 nt
Filed under: plant metagenome
Description: partial contains 5.8S ribosomal RNA, internal transcribed spacer 2, and large subunit ribosomal RNA
Rfam family: 5.8S ribosomal RNA (bases 1-105)
Source: RNAcentral